Molecule: RNA transcript, 5287 nt
Organism: Cydia fagiglandana
Lineage: Eukaryota; Metazoa; Arthropoda; Insecta; Lepidoptera; Tortricidae
Gene name: neuronal synaptobrevin-like
Exons: 7
Source: RefSeq, a predicted model, not a curated record
UACGGCGCACUAACGCGCCCUCUUCCAUACAAAUCGGGAAACCUGGCCGCAGAAGGUUUCUCUUCUAAAUAUAUUUUCGGAAAAUUCGCAUUUUAUAUACCGUACCGCUGUAAUAAGCGGGUAUUUGUACGUCGACAAUUGUAUGUGUUCAACGGAUAUCAUUUACUGCGAUUAAGGCUCUCUAUGGCCUGUUAAGCUGACUACUAAAAAUAGAACAGUGCCCGAUACAUUCGUAGGAAAAUCUAGUGCGAGGUUUCCAUUCAUAAAAUCUAUCAUUUGGUGGUCGGUCGUGACGACACGUUAUAGGCGCAUAAUUAAAAUUUAUCGGUGAAUUCACAUCGUUGGCUGGAACGGAGUGACCAAUCAAUAACAGCGUCACCUUUGAAGGAGUUUUCGUCGAAAAAGUAUUGGAAAGAGGCAAAAUGGCGACCGAGGGCGGACUGGCGCCUGCCGCCGACGGCGACAUGCCCGUGGGCGGGCCCAAGACGCCCCAGCAGAUCGCGGCGCAGCGUCGCCUCCAGCAGACACAGGCGCAAGUUGACGAGGUGGUGGACAUCAUGAAAACAAACGUCGAAAAGGUGCUGGAGCGCGAUUCUAAGCUCUCAGAGCUUGAUGAUAGAGCAGACGCACUCCAGCAUGGCGCAUCACAGUUUGAGCAACAGGCCGGGAAGCUGAAAAGCAAAUUCUGGUUGCAGAAUUUAAAGAUGAUGAUAAUCGCAGCUGUGAUCGGAAUUGUCAUCCUGGCUCUGAUCAUAGGUAAGUUCCCUGCCAAUCCCGACUCUACGGCACAUCACUGUAUUAGACUAAUCUUAACUUUUCAACAUUUUCAGCCAACUGUGUGUGAACAACUUUGGAGCAGUUUCAUUUAGAAGUAACUUGUUAUAAUGUUUAUAGUAUAACGUUAUUUUAUUGCGUUAAAACUAAGCCUAGUUUGGUAAGUAGGCGUCUUGUCGUUGUUGAGUUGAUGAUACCUAAAUGUUGGCUUUAUCUGUGUGUCCUAUCGUAGAACAUGUUUCUGGCGUAUAAUGUGUAAUGUCAUUUCGAUAUCUUCUAUAUACAUGGUUAGUUUGCUAUUCAAAUUUAUAUUGUGGGUAGGUAAGUACAUAGGUCGUUUAGCGUUAAUACAAAGGGUCACACUUAAUUCAACGUCCAAGAAAACGGAAAUAUGUGAAAUAUGUGAAAAGGACAGCAGAAAAUAUAUAACUCACAUUUAUAGACGGUUAAUAUGUGUUCAAAACGCGAAAGUUUUAAAUAUUAUAAUAACAGAAAAUGCCAGAUAAUUCAAUUGUUUCCUUUAUAUUUAUUUUAACAGCUAACUUUGUUAUAUUUUAGAAGCAUUUUAUAAGGACACGGGAUGAAUUUGAAUAGUAAACAACGCGUGCUUUAUUUUGCGUACAUUUUAUUGUUGCCUCUGAUGCUGCUCUAUAUUUCGUAUACCUACAUUUAAAUAAAAAAAAACUUCUAAGAGAUAAUGUUUACUAAUAAAACCAAUUGCUUUAUUCUUCUCUCCAAGAAUGCAAUGCUUUUCCCAAGUUGUACCCCGACUAUUUGCUUUUGUGACAAUAAUCAUAUAUUACAAUACCUACAUAAAUUUGACACUUAGGAUUUAAGUGGUACCUAUGUACCUACAUCAAAUUGAGGAUAUAUUUUCACUGCGUAUCUUUGUGAAUACAUUAAAAAUCGAUAAUCUUGUACCUAUUGCAAAAGUUUCAUCGUAAGUUUUUUGAAUCAAUCAAAAUGCACCAAUUUUGACCGUCUAUCGUGAAACACGACAAUCUGUCUGUCUAUACGUUAUCAUUAUCAUUAUGGCGUGCGUUAGACGAGCGAUAAUCUAACUUGAACUCUUUUUCUAGGUCUGUAAACAUCGGGUACGGAUGACAGAUGGCUGAGAAACACUACUGAAUUCCAUUACCUACAGCCUAAUUUCACCAUUUUUUACGUGUCCUCGAGUUCAAUCGGCACCGCCUUCGAUGUACCCAAUAUCAAUAUACCCCACAUAAAACUAUUUAUUCUACUAGGCCCACCGUACACUCAGGUGCGGCGUUAACUUAGCUCCAGUCUCUAUUCGUACUCACGUGUCCUUAGUGUGCAGCGGGCCUAAAUCAAAAAGUUUAGAAAACUGUAUUUUCUUCACAUCACUAUCAACCGUCUUGACUUUAAGAAAAGUAUUUUUAGAUGAGUUUUCGUUAUUAAAAAUGUUUAUCUUAGAAUAACAACUGUAAUUUGCUAAACGCUAUACACAACCUAAAGCUUAUUGAAAACGACCAUAUCACCAAUUUCCAACAUUGAAUAUCUGAUUCAUGAGAUCGACCUAAGAGAAAUUUUAAAAUUUUUAGACUCUAAAUUUCUUUUAAUUCGGACCAAGUUUCUUAAUAAUCAUUAUUACCGAUUGUGUUUAUUUUUAUACGCCGGUGUUUUUGAAUUUAUAUUUUCAAUUUCGAAUAAUUUAACUGUUGCUCUUUGAUAAAACGUCUAUAUGAAUAUGUUUCUAUCUUGUAAGUAUGGAAUUUCGUAAACUUUUAAAAUGUUGAAUACAUGGAUAAUAUGGAUAUUGAUCUCACGUAGAAUAGUAGCAGCUGACUUUGUCGUUCUGGUCGACUUUCCUUUAAAAUUAAGUAACUACUAGACAGAAAAAUAGUACUUGAACAAAUAUUAUAUUACAUUUUAGAAUCAUUUUACUGCUUCUAUGUACGCAAAUAUAUUACUUUUGAAUUGGGUAACUUAAUGGAUGUGAAUAACGAUCGACUUAGAAUGGUUUGCUUGUUCGGUUAGUUUUAGUCAGUCUACAGGCAUUUUGUAGCUGUUUAAACUAAGUACCUAACAUAACAUAAUAUACUUAUUGGCGGUGAUUUCUAUUUGAAACGAAAAUUUAUAAUAUUCAUGUUGUUGUUUGUAAUAAAUAGAAUUAGACUAAAAAAAUAAUGUUCAUUCCUACGAUCUGUAGUAAUCGUGACUGGCCAAUAUUUUUUAAAUAAUUAUACAUAACCACAUGUUGUAACAGAUAUGUACCUUAUAUCUUUUUCUGUGUGUAUUGUAUGUAAAAACAGCUUUGUAGUUAGAAAGUGUAAAAAGUUUCACUAUAAUUAGGUGUUUUUAUUGUAACCACGCAUAGGCUAAAAGCGAGUUAAAGUUAAUGAACAUACAUGUUUAUCCGUUGGGGAAAUUGGCCAGUGUUGGAUUUAAACCAGUCAUUAGUAAAUUAAGUGGAGUUCCAGAAAAUGAAAUUUAUAAUAAGCCAUGUAUGGGUAACAAUGAAUUAGUUUUUAGAUUUAGACACUAUCGUGGCCGGGUAUAAGGCCUCAGUAUUGUGUCAAUCCCAGGACCGAUAUCGUUAUGGGGCCGGGGUUGGCCCAGUAUCGCGCAGUAUCUCUCUUAAUACCUACUUGUAUUAAAAUACGCAGGGUUUGUGCUGGUCUCAUUCUUCUGAGCCAUAAGAAUUGAGACGGGCAUAAACAGGCCAUAGAAAAAACUCUACAAGGAUAGAUAUGCAUAUGCACGUCGUGUCGAGUCGUUUUUUAGGUAUAGUAUACAUAGCCUACUGAAAUUGUUACAACUACUUACUGACCUACAUUUUCGAUUUUUUUUAAUAACAUCCAGUACCAGUUAUAUCCGUCAAAAUAAUAUACCUCCUAAGCAUUGAUUAACGAGUUAUCAAAAUUAAAAAAUCUGAACUUAAUUAAUAAUUGAUAGAUGGGUGUUCUUAAUAAUAAUUCGAAAAUGGAAGUUAUAAAAAUCACUGUAAGGUAAGGUAAAAAAUACACCAGAUACAUAUGUUAUAAAUAGAUUUAUACUUUAAAAUAAGAAUAUUCCAUUAGUGAAAAGGUCUGAACCGAAAACUGUUGACAUGUAUUUGUAGUAACAUACUGCAAUAAAUCAGAAAAUAAAGAUACCUCUUCACUGGUGUUGGGUAUUCCUACGUUAUUUGUGGUCAUAUCAUAUUAAGAUCCUAAAAUGCGAAAUCUAAACUUCUUUUGUGGAAAUACGAGACAUUAUGAGCAAGUUUUAGACUUGAUAACAACGGUUCAUCAUUGAUUAGGUAAGUACUUACACCUAUUUAUUUUUUUACUGCGAAUAUGACCACAAGUAAGUAAUUUAAUUGUGAAAAGACUCAAAACGCAUAGUGUAAAAUUAUGUAAAACCACUAAUCAUGAGAAUAGGUAUUAAUACCUACUUAGAACAUUUUGUUUCCAUCUCGUUAAUUUGUCAUUCCCCAUAAUAAAAUUCGCAGCAUACACGCGAUCGCAGUCCGUCUCCCUCACACUGAUGGUUGGUGCGAUAGAGAGGGAAUGCGAUAGAGUUCGCACUGUCGCUAACGUAAAUGACAAAUGCCAACUCGUGGUAGCCGUGCAGGUAUGGGUGUGAAAUUGUACUGAAAUAACAUGUAACGAAAUUUAAAUUUAUCUAAUUAUAUUAAAUGUUUCGAAUCGUGAAGGUUAAGAGGUUUGAGCAAACAGAAGGUUUCUUUCAUGAAAAGUGGAUUUAUAUUAAAUUUCAAUAUGUGAUGAGACUAGUUAAGACACUAAGUUAUUUAAAAAAAUGAUUAAAGGGUAAAAAAGCGUUACCUUUUAGAUAAGUAGGUACCUACUUACUUUAUACGUGUCUCACAUUAUUUAAUAUUCAAUUAUGAUGAUGAUUAUAUAGUCUGUUUUAAUGGGAAUGUCGUAAGAAUAUAUUACCUAAAAUUAUGUUUAUUCACUACUUAUGUUUAAUUACUUAAUUAUUAUGAGAUCGGUUUUAAAAUAAACAUAUUAGGUAUGCCUAAACUCCGUCUAAGCUAACUCUGCACCGACCUUACAACGAUAAAAUGGGGACGCGCCACUAUAACCGUCAUAUUUUCAUAGGAAUUUGACAUUUAUAGUGGCACUGUCACACUAUCGGUUGCAAAAUUGAUGCAAAAUUCGCUUUGACAGACAAUAGGUACCUAAUUUGCAAUUUGUCUUGAAUCGUUAAAAGUACAUAAGUUAAAAGUUAAAAGUGUCAUUUUAACGAAAUUUUAUUAAGGAAUAUAUAAUUACUUACAUCAUUUACCUUUCUUUUAUGAGAAUGUGUAAUUAAAACUUAUUUCAUAAAAAUGUAUUUAUAUGUUAACAAGUUAUAAUUAUAACUGUUAAACGUUAAAAAAUCAAACAUAAUCUUAACAGUUUAAUGAAACAUCAGGCAAAUAUUUGGUAAAUAUUUACAUAUAAAUUGUAAUUCGCCGUGUAUACAUAGCAUAAUAAGUUAUGUACCUAUGUAUUAUUAUUGCUUAAAUAAAUAAACCAACAUUAAUUAUGUUAGAAUAUUAUUA